AACGCGAAGAACCUUACCUGGGUUUGACAUCGCCGGAAAUCCUUCAGAGAUGGGGGGUCCCUUCGGGGGUCGGUGACAGGUGGUGCAUGGCUGUCGUCAGCUCGUGUCGUGAGAUGUUGGGUUAAGUCCCGCAACGAGCGCAACCCUUGUCCUAUGUUGCCAGCGGGUUAUGCCGGGGACUCAUGGGAGACUGCCGGGGUCAACUCGGAGGAAGGUGGGGAUGACGUCAAGUCAUCAUGCCCCUUAUGUCCAGGGCUUCACGCAUGCUACAAUGGCCGGUACAGAGGGCUGCGAUGCCGUGAGGUGGAGCGAAUCUCGUAAAGCCGGUCUCAGUUCGGAUUGGGGUCUGCAACUCGACCCCAUGAAGUCGGAGUCGCUAGUAAUCGCAGAUCAGCAACGCUGCGGUGAAUACGUUCCCGGGCCUUGUACACACCG
This 435-nucleotide ribosomal RNA is filed under the name uncultured bacterium. RNAcentral's name for it is "bacterial SSU rRNA". It matches the Rfam family "Bacterial small subunit ribosomal RNA", at positions 958 to 1392 of the family's 1533-position model. The record is from RNAcentral.